GAAGUUUGAAGUCCAAGUGAAAGCUGCUAACUUAUCACUUUAGCGGUUAAAUUCCGUUUACACUUCU
RNAcentral lists this transfer RNA (67 nucleotides) under Calolamprodes beybienkoi. RNAcentral's name for it is "tRNA-Ser". Lineage: Eukaryota; Metazoa; Arthropoda; Insecta; Blattodea; Blaberidae. The record is from RNAcentral.